UGUUUUUCACAGAAAGAAGCAAGUUGAUGUACAAUGUUAAGAACAAUGUUAAGAUUUGUUACAAUGUUAAGAACACAAACAAUCAGAAUGCUGUACAACGCAAAUACAGUUUUCACCCAAGCCUUUCAAAAAUGAAAAAUAUGAUGAGAAUUUUGUGCUACAAUGUCAACAGGAGACCUGUUGAUCAUCCAUGCUAGAAUUCCUACCAAUAGUGUGUGUACACAGUGUGUGAGGGAAAAGUGCAAUAUUUGUGAAGCAUUUCGUUUCAUUAUUUCGCAAUUGUAUUAAUAAUGGAGUAAUACAUAUUUUCUGUCUAGUCAAACUAUUUCUUUUGUAGAAAAUGUAAGGUCAAGUUGGGAAGCACAGUUCUUAUGAUCGGUAUUACUAAAAGCAGCACAAAACCAUACUCACUCACUCGCUCUUGUGAUCAGUACGCAGAUGAGUGGUGCUCAGAGUAGCAAUGAUAGCGACUAGCACUCAAGCUCUGUGUGUACUGAGCAGUUCAGGUAGCUCCCAAUGCGAUGAUUGAUUAAGUGCCACUGAUUGUGAUCUGCUGAAGUAACACAGGUGAUAAGUGCUUAAGUGGCACUGAAUGUGACAAGCACUUUGUAGUACUGGCUGUGACAUAAGUUCUUUAAGUAUCACUUAUUGUGACUUAUUGUGCUUUAAGUGGUCUAGUGACCAGAGCUUUAUAUACCACUGCUUGCAACCAUUUCGUCUGGUAAUAAAUCCUCAAGAGCUGCUCUGAUUAAGAUUGCAAUAAAUAAGUCAUGGUCUAUCUUUUGCUGUGAUGUGCAGGUGAGAACUAGACAUUGCUGCUACAGAUAUUAGUUUACAUGUUCAAACAAUAAUCUUGCUACCUUUUGUCACAAGGGUCAGGCAUGUUGUGAUGGCUUUGAUGAGACAUUGAU
Long non-coding RNA from Haliotis rubra (blacklip abalone), 911 nucleotides. RefSeq lists it as uncharacterized. The record is from RefSeq and is a predicted model, not a curated record. The transcript is spliced from 3 exons. Lineage: Eukaryota; Metazoa; Mollusca; Gastropoda; Lepetellida; Haliotidae.